This 450-nucleotide ribosomal RNA is filed under the name uncultured bacterium. RNAcentral's name for it is "partial 16S ribosomal RNA". It matches the Rfam family "Bacterial small subunit ribosomal RNA", at positions 354 to 796 of the family's 1533-position model. The record is from RNAcentral.
GUGGGGAAUUUUGGACAAUGGGCGCAAGCCUGAUCCAGCCAUUCCGCGUGCAGGAUGAAGGCCUUCGGGUUGUAAACUGCUUUUGUACGGAACGAAAAGCCUCUGGUUAAUACCCGGGGGUCAUGACGGUACCGUAAGAAUAAGCACCGGCUAACUACGUGCCAGCAGCCGCGGUAAUACGUAGGGUGCGAGCGUUAAUCGGAAUUACUGGGCGUAAAGCGUGCGCAGGCGGGUUUGUAAGACAGGCGUGAAAUCCCCGGGCUCAACCUGGGAAUUGCGCUUGUGACUGCAAGGCUGGAGUGCGGCAGAGGGGGAUGGAAUUCCGCGUGUAGCAGUGAAAUGCGUAGAUAUGCGGAGGAACACCGAUGGCGAAGGCAAUCCCCUGGGCCUGCACUGACGCUCAUGCACGAAAGCGUGGGGAGCAAACAGGAUUAGAAACCCGUGUAGUCC